GACGAACGCUGGCGGCGUGCUUAACACAUGCAAGUCGAACGGAAAGGCCCUGCUUUUGUGGGGUGCUCGAGUGGCGAACGGGUGAGUAACACGUGAGUAACCUGCCCUUGACUUUGGGAUAACUUCAGGAAACUGGGGCUAAUACCGGAUAGGAGCUCCUGCUGCAUGGUGGGGGUUGGAAAGUUUCGGCGGUUGGGGAUGGACUCGCGGCUUAUCAGCUUGUUGGUGGGGUAGUGGCUUACCAAGGCUUUGCCGGGUAGCCGGCCUGAGAGGGUGACCGGCCACAUGGGGACUGAGAUACGGCCCAGACUCGUACGGGAGGCAGCAGUGGGGAAUAUUGCACAAUGGGCGGAAGCCUGAUGCAGCAACGCCGCGUGCGGGAUGACGGCCUUCGGGUUGUAAACCGCUUUCGCCUGUGACGAAGCGUGAGUGACGGUAAUGGGUAAAGAAGCACCGGCUAACUACGUG
This 468-nucleotide ribosomal RNA is filed under the name uncultured bacterium. RNAcentral's name for it is "partial 16S ribosomal RNA". It matches the Rfam family "Bacterial small subunit ribosomal RNA", at positions 28 to 507 of the family's 1533-position model. The record is from RNAcentral.